AUUCCAGCUCCAAUAGCGUAUAUUAAAGUUGUUGCAGUUAAAAAGCUCGUAGUCGGAUUUUGGCAUCACGCCGAACUGUCUGCCGAUUGGUAAGUACGGUUUGGCGGGUGCUUCCUUCCGGAGGCUCGUUCCCUUCUUCAUUGAAGGGUUCGUUGGUUCCGGGUCUUUUACUUUGAGAAAAUUAGAGUGUUCAAAGCAGGCCUAUGCUCUGAAUAGGUUAGCAUGGAAUAAUAGAAUAGGACUUUGGUUCUAUUUUGUUGGUUUCUAGGACCGAAGUAAUGAUUAAUAGGGACAAUUGGGGGCAUUCGUAUCGCGGUGUCAGAGGUGGAAUUCUUGGAUUACUGCGCGACGAACUACUGCGAAAGCAUUUGCCAAGGAUGGUUUCAUCG
RNAcentral lists this ribosomal RNA (389 nucleotides) under Picozoa sp. Its description in RNAcentral is "partial small subunit ribosomal RNA". It matches the Rfam family "Eukaryotic small subunit ribosomal RNA", at positions 582 to 975 of the family's 1831-position model. Lineage: Eukaryota; Picozoa. The record is from RNAcentral.